UACGGAGGUUGCAAGCGUUAUCCGGAUUUAUUGGGUUUAAAGGGUGCGUAGGCGGGUUUGUAAGUCAGUGGUGAAAGACUGUCGCUUAACGAUAGCAUUGCCAUUGAUACUGCAAGUCUUGAGUACACUUGAGGUAGGCGGAAUGUGUAGUGUAGCGGUGAAAUGCUUAGAUAUUACACAGAACACCAAUUGCGAAGGCAGCUUACUAAAUUGUCACUGACGCUGAGGCACGAAAGCGUGGGGAUCAAACAGG
This 253-nucleotide ribosomal RNA is filed under the name uncultured bacterium. Its description in RNAcentral is "partial 16S ribosomal RNA". It matches the Rfam family "Bacterial small subunit ribosomal RNA", at positions 524 to 776 of the family's 1533-position model. The record is from RNAcentral.